This 265-nucleotide ribosomal RNA is filed under the name uncultured Atopobium sp. Its description in RNAcentral is "partial 16S ribosomal RNA". It matches the Rfam family "Bacterial small subunit ribosomal RNA", at positions 91 to 355 of the family's 1533-position model. Lineage: Bacteria; Bacillati; Actinomycetota; Coriobacteriia; Coriobacteriales; Atopobiaceae. The record is from RNAcentral.
UAAAGUGGCGAACGGCUGAGUAACACGUGGGCAACCUGCCCUUUGCACUGGGAUAGCCUCGGGAAACCGAGGUUAAUACCGGAUACUCCAUAUUUGUCGCAUGGCGAAUAUGGGAAAGCUCCGGCGGCAAAGGAUGGGCCCGCGGCCUGUUAGCUAGUUGGUGGGGUAGUGGCCUACCAAGGCAAUGAUGGGUAGCCGGGUUGAGAGACCGACCGGCCAGAUUGGGACUGAGACACGGCCCAGACUCCUACGGGAGGCAGCAGCA